This is a long non-coding RNA of Mangifera indica (mango), 629 nucleotides long. RefSeq lists it as uncharacterized. NCBI's taxonomy places the organism in Eukaryota, Viridiplantae, Streptophyta, Magnoliopsida, Sapindales, Anacardiaceae. The transcript has 4 exons. The record is from RefSeq and is a predicted model, not a curated record.
UGGAUCGGGUGGGGGCAUCAGCAAGUGUUUUAUAUAUACCUCUUUCCAUUGGCUCUGGUGCUCUCCAUACCUAUCUCUUUCUCUCUCCUUUUCUUCUCUAGCGUUUUCUGCAACAAUUUCGGUCUCCUUCUAAGAAGCAGGGAAUCUGCAUUUUUGUGAAUUUAAGUUUACGUAUCUGCACAUUGGAGCUCCCUUUCACGUUUAGUGCUGGUUCCUUGUUGUAAUUUGAUGCUCGAAUCUAUGAUGACCUUUCAGUUUGAGAAGGCUAUUUAUCAUGGGAUGGUCCUUGGUUGUUGCAACAUAGAUGGUGAGGAACUGUACCCCAAUUUAGUGGCGCUUGCUGGUGUUUCAUAACUCUGUUGCUGAGGCUGGCUAAGCUGGAGAUGGACAGGUACAUGUGAGUCUUCUCCAUUGCUUAGACUGUUGGUAAGCAGUGGGUUUCUGAUUGCUCCAUUGGCAUCUCUUGUACCAUAAACCUGGGAUGUGUAAUUUUUCUGUUUGAGGGUGGUUUUCUAAUAUCUUACAAUUCGACAAAGGUUUAAUGAUUGAAUCAUACUAGUCUUUCAAGAUAUGACUGAUUUUGUGUUAUAUAUACCUAUACCUUCUUAUUCAGUUUGAUAUUCUCUUUA